Molecule: ribosomal RNA, 497 nt
Filed under: uncultured bacterium
Lineage: Bacteria
Description: partial 16S ribosomal RNA
Rfam family: Bacterial small subunit ribosomal RNA
Source: RNAcentral
GACGGACGCUGGCGGCGUGCCUAAUACAUGCAAGUUGAGCGCUGAAGGUUGGUACUUGUACCGACUGGAUGAGCAGCGAACGGGUGAGUAACGCGUGGGUAAUCUGCCUUUGAGCGGGGGACAACAUUUGGAAACGAAUGCUAAUACCGCAUAAAAACUUUAAACACAAGUUUUAAGUUUGAAAGAUGCAAUUGCAUCACUCAAAGAUGAUCCCGCGUUGUAUUAGCUAGUUGGUGAGGUAAAGGCUCACCAAGGCGAUGAUACAUAGCCGACCUGAGAGGGUGAUCGGCCACAUUGGGACUGAGACACGGCCCAAACUCCUACGGGAGGCAGCAGUAGGGAAUCUUCGGCAAUGGACGAAAGUCUGACCGAGCAACGCCGCGUGAGGGAAGAAGGGUUUCGGAUCGUAAAACUCUGUUGGUAGAGAAGAACGUUGGUGAGAGUGGAAAGCUCAUCAAGUGACGGUAACUACCCAGAAAGGGACGGCUAACUACGUG